This 327-nucleotide ribosomal RNA is filed under the name uncultured eukaryote. Its description in RNAcentral is "partial 18S ribosomal RNA". It matches the Rfam family "Eukaryotic small subunit ribosomal RNA", at positions 1470 to 1796 of the family's 1831-position model. The record is from RNAcentral.
CCCUUAGAUGUUCUGGGCCGCACGCGCGCUACACUGAUGAAUGCAACGAGCUCUACCCUUGACCGAAAGGCCCGGGUAAACUUGUGAAACUUCAUCGUGAUGGGGAUAGAUUAUUGCAAUUAUUAAUCUUCAACGAGGAAUUCCUAGUAAGCGCGAGUCAUCAGCUCGCGUUGAUUACGUCCCUGCCCUUUGUACACACCGCCCGUCGCUCCUACCGAUUGAAUGGUCCGGUGAAAUCUUCGGAUUGCUGACCAAGAUCCAGCAAUGGAGCUUGGUUGCGAGAAGUUGAUUAAACCUUAUUAUUUAGAGGAAGUAAAAGUCGUAACA